This 214-nucleotide unclassified non-coding RNA is filed under the name Glomeraceae sp. RNAcentral describes it as "partial contains 5.8S ribosomal RNA and internal transcribed spacer 2". The stretch from base 1 to 71 matches the Rfam family "5.8S ribosomal RNA", at positions 84 to 154 of the family's 154-position model. The record is from RNAcentral. Lineage: Eukaryota; Fungi; Glomeromycota; Glomeromycetes; Glomerales; Glomeraceae.
GUGAAUCAUCGAAUCUUUGAACGCAAAUUGCACUCUCUGGUAUUCCGGAGAGUAUGCCUGUUUGAGGGUCAGUUUAAAUAAAAAUCGGUGUGGUUGUUGCCUUUCGUGGUGACGCACCGGAUUUGGGUCGUCUUGCCUUCGGUUAAGUGACCUAAAAUUUUGCAUGAUUUUUUGAAAGUUAUUUAAUUGUUUUAAGUAAGGUUUCGGUAUCCGA